This 292-nucleotide ribosomal RNA is filed under the name uncultured bacterium. RNAcentral describes it as "partial 16S ribosomal RNA". It matches the Rfam family "Bacterial small subunit ribosomal RNA", at positions 505 to 796 of the family's 1533-position model. The record is from RNAcentral.
GUGCCAGCCGCCGCGGUAAUACGGAGGGUGCGAGCGUUGUCCGGAAUCACUGGGCGUAAAGGGCGCGUAGGCGGCCUGAUAAGUAGGGGGUGAAAUCCUGCGGCUUAACCGCAGGGCUGCCUUCUAAACUGUCAGGCUGGAGCACAGUAGAGGCAGGUGGAAUUCCCGGUGUAGCGGUGGAAUGCGUAGAGAUCGGGAAGAACAUCAGUGGCGAAGGCGGCCUGCUGGGCUGUUGCUGACGCUGAGGCGCGACAGCGUGGGGAGCAAACAGGAUUAGAUACCCUCGUAGUCC